This 721-nucleotide ribosomal RNA is filed under the name uncultured Enterobacterales bacterium. RNAcentral describes it as "bacterial SSU rRNA". It matches the Rfam family "Bacterial small subunit ribosomal RNA", at positions 46 to 756 of the family's 1533-position model. The record is from RNAcentral. Lineage: Bacteria; Pseudomonadati; Pseudomonadota; Gammaproteobacteria; Enterobacterales.
GCUUAACACAUGCAAGUCGAGCGGUAGCACAGGGGAGCUUGCUCCCCGGGUGACGAGCGGCGGACGGGUGAGUAAUGUCUGGGAAACUGCCUGAUGGAGGGGGAUAACCACUGGAAACGGUAGCUAAUACCGCAUAACGUCGCAAGACCAAAGAGGGGGACCUUCGGGCCUCUUGCCAUCAGAUGUGCCCAGAUGGGAUUAGCUAGUAGGUGGGGUAAUGGCUCACCUAGGCGACGAUCCCUAGCUGGUCUGAGAGGAUGACCAGCCACACUGGAACUGAGACACGGUCCAGACUCCUACGGGAGGCAGCAGUGGGGAAUAUUGCACAAUGGGCGCAAGCCUGAUGCAGCCAUGCCGCGUGUGUGAAGAAGGCCUUCGGGUUGUAAAGCACUUUCAGCGAGGAGGAAGGUGGUGAACUUAAUACGUUCAUCAAUUGACGUUACUCGCAGAAGAAGCACCGGCUAACUCCGUGCCAGCAGCCGCGGUAAUACGGAGGGUGCAAGCGUUAAUCGGAAUUACUGGGCGUAAAGCGCACGCAGGCGGUUUGUUAAGUCAGAUGUGAAAUCCCCGGGCUCAACCUGGGAACUGCAUUUGAAACUGGCAAGCUAGAGUCUCGUAGAGGGGGGUAGAAUUCCAGGUGUAGCGGUGAAAUGCGUAGAGAUCUGGAGGAAUACCGGUGGCGAAGGCGGCCCCCUGGACGAAGACUGACGCUCAGGUGCGA